CUUAUUUUAUGGUUUCACAGUGUAUCUAAAGGGUUAAUGUCCUUGUGCUCCUAACUGUCAAUCACCUAGUGGGGUGAUUGCCAGUGGGCGGGGCAUCACCUCAGAGUGGGUCAUGUGACUACUAGAGAGGGGUGGAGAGGUGCUGUGAGUAUAGCUGAGGGAGAGACUGCAUAUCCCUUGGUGAGAGGACAUAGUUUUUUGCUGCUCCGGCCGUUGCCCGCAUUAGAGCUGAGCGGUAUACAUUUCGGCGGCCGGAGGGGGCUUAGUGUGUGUAGCCAGAACAGGGCUUCCUUACUGUAAAGGUGGUGACAGCAGCAUUGAGACUGUUCAUAGAACCCGGCAUCAGCGCUAGUCAACUCACCCAGCAGUAUUGGAAGGGCACAUCUGUGACAGGGAGACAGAGAGGGUUCCUUCCUACCUAUUACCGGCACAGACUCUGACAGCCACAACAAAGAAGCCAGGACCAGCAGCAGAGGCUCCAUUCUGUGUGGAUCACAAGGCCACGAGGGACAUCGAGAAGAAUCCUACUGCCAGUAUGGUGCUGGUUUUCCUGGGAGGAGGAGUCAGACGUGAUAUCGGGAACAAAAUAAGCUCCGUACACCUAACAGUAACAGUCAUGCAGGAAAAUGUUGCAUCCUAGCACUGCUGAGACCUGUGUGUGGAGUGAAACGGACUGGAUGUUGCUGAAGUACCAGGGUGACAGCACAUUAAACCUGGACAGAAGCAAGCGUUCAGAGGAGCGGAUUCUCAUCUUUAUUCAAUACCGUCAUGCAUUAGGCGUAUGAAAUGAAAACCUUUUGUCUGCUGCCCUGCAGAAGCUUUUAGUGACUGAAUCACCGGAUUAAUAUACAUUGCCACUUUACCUUUUGCCUUAAGUAACUAUUUCCAGAGGCAUGGUCACAGGAGAACUACUUGUGCUUAAAGAAAUCUUUAAAAUGCAUUUUUCCCCCACAUUUAAAAGCACAUUUUACUGAUGAUUAAUGCAUCUACAUAAGUAUAAAAGCCUUGUUACGCAGGACCUUAGUAACAGCAAUGGGAAAAAUAUUGGGAAAUUAUAAUACUUAAUAUAUUUCACCACAAGGUGGCUGCUGUGCCAGUGUCUCAGUGACUGUUGCUGAACACUGUAAGAUACAAAUUAAAAUGUGAUUCCUUAGUGCAGGAGACAGGAACCCUGGCCGCUGCUAAACUACUGUACAUGACUGUUAGACGUUGUCGUCGUAGUUUCAUAGCACCCAGACUAGAUCUUCCUAAGUAUUUAUGACCCUGCUUUUUCCCCCAUCACAGAAGCAGCAAAGUAACACUUUCCUACUGUUGUGCUAUUGUAUUAUUUGUGGCAUUAAAUGUGUGUUCUUAUACUGUAUACUUUUAUAUCUAUGUGUGUAAUUGAAAUGUAGAAAAACUUUAUUAGAAUUUCUACAUAUUUGAGGUGUGGUGUCCCUUUUCUUUAUUCCAGAAAUUUUAUCAUUUUACAACAAAUGCAUGUAUUUUCCAACUUUGAAAUAACAUGAAUAGAAAACACAUUCUUUAAACACCCUUCUGGCUCCUGCUUCUCGUUUACCUUAAGUGGGUGGGGCCAUGAUAAUGUCAUUUGCAUAAGCCAGCCCCACCUCCACACUCUUGAGAAAGCUAACUGCAUCAUUGUGGAGAGACAUGAGAUGUGGGGGUUCUGGUAGGGUGGCAGGAAGAUGACAUUUGGAAAUGGGUUGUUUUAAACUGUAUUUUAAAUACUAAGGGCUUCAUUCAGAAAGGAUUGCAUAUGCAAAGCUGCUCAUAGCAACUUGGCAAAUGCAAUCCUUAGUACUGCAAAUGCAGGAGGAGGUGCGUAGCAUCGGCACAUGUGCAGAACGUCAUCACUCGCCCUAAUUUAGAAGUCUUCUGUAUAUUCCUGAAAAGUAGGCAACUGGAGGAUGUUAACAGAUGUGUAGAGACUACAAAAUAAUCUGGCAUCGUUGGUUUAUGUACUUAUUCCCUCUGUUUGUCAUUGUAUUUAGUGCCCUACAGUAUA
Pseudophryne corroboree (corroboree frog) is the source of this 2005-nucleotide long non-coding RNA. RefSeq lists it as uncharacterized. NCBI's taxonomy places the organism in Eukaryota, Metazoa, Chordata, Amphibia, Anura, Myobatrachidae. The record is from RefSeq and is a predicted model, not a curated record. The transcript has 4 exons.